CUUAGCAGGAAGCUUUGGGCAAGUUCAGUUCUGAGGCCUGCGGUCUCCAUCCACCUGCUUUAAUUGUCAUGGGAGUGUGCAAAACCACAAUGAGGAUUUCUUACAUGGGAAGGAUGACAGGGCUGAGGAGAUUGUAUCACGUUUCAGCUUUCGAGUCUCAAAGGGUGCCCUGACGAAUGUACAGCUCAUCUCACCAUUGCCAGCCUACCAGAAGCAAGCCGGUUUCAAGGGGAGCACAAUAACCCAGCACCCGAGGGGAGACGAAACUGACGUGAACUCCCACAGUGCACACACUCCUUGAACUGCGUCAUGGUUAACAGGGCUCACCGAGAGACAAGACCCAACACCCCGCUAGAACCAACAGACACUUUAUUUAAUCUUCCUGCAGCCUGCCACAAACUUGUAGACGGGCACCCAGUCCGACUGUCAUUUUAGCGUAGUAAUAUAGUUACGAUUCCAAAACGAUGUGUGCAGUGCUACAUGGGAUACUGAGACCUCCGCAGUUUUUAUAUAUAUAUAUAAAAAAAAAAAAAGAUGAUGCAGGGAGCAGUGGAACCAUUUUUACACGUUGCAUUGCAUAAAACUACUUCGUAAUAUUAACUGAAUUAUUGGAUAGGGAUGAAAAGGGGAUCUGUUGUCCUUUACAUCUGUGUUUUAGAAACGCACUACUGUUACUUUUUUGCGUUUUACUAAAAUGUCCUGCUUAUAUAACACAGAAUUCUGUCUAAACGUGACCUCUGAAAUGUGGUGUCAACUUUGUGUACUAUUUAUUUUGGGAAUA
Acipenser ruthenus (sterlet) is the source of this 781-nucleotide long non-coding RNA. RefSeq lists it as uncharacterized. The record is from RefSeq and is a predicted model, not a curated record. The transcript is spliced from 3 exons. NCBI's taxonomy places the organism in Eukaryota, Metazoa, Chordata, Actinopteri, Acipenseriformes, Acipenseridae.